AUUGAACGCUGGCGGAAUGCUUUACACAUGCAAGUCGAGCGGCAGCGCGGGGGCAACCCUGGCGGCGAGCGGCGAACGGGUGAGUAACACAUCGGAACGUACCCAGUUGUGGGGGAUAGCCCGGCGAAAGCCGGAUUAAUACCGCAUACGACCUGAGGGUGAAAGGGGGGGUUCGCAAGACCUCUCGCAGUUGGAGCGGCCGAUGGCGGAUUAGCUAGUUGGUGAGGUAAAGGCUCACCAAGGCGACGAUCCGUAGCUGGUCUGAGAGGACGACCAGCCACACUGGAACUGAGACACGGUCCAGACUCCUACGGGAGGCAGCAGUGGGGAAUUUUGGACAAUGGGGGCAACCCUGAUCCAGCCAUUCCGCGUGAGUGAAGAAGGCCUUCGGGUUGUAAAGCUCUUUCGGCAGGAACGAAACGGUGGAGGCUAAUACCUUUCAUCAAUGACGGUACCUGAAGAAGAAGCACCGGCUAACUACGUGCCAGCAGCCGCAGUAA
Molecule: ribosomal RNA, 500 nt
Filed under: uncultured bacterium
Lineage: Bacteria
Description: partial 16S ribosomal RNA
Rfam family: Bacterial small subunit ribosomal RNA
Source: RNAcentral